Molecule: ribosomal RNA, 440 nt
Filed under: uncultured bacterium
Lineage: Bacteria
Description: partial 16S ribosomal RNA
Rfam family: Bacterial small subunit ribosomal RNA
Source: RNAcentral
CCUACGGGUGGCAGCAGUGGGGAAUAUUGCACAAUGGGGGAAACCCUGAUGCAGCGAUGCCGCGUGAAUGAAGAAGGCCUUCGGGAUGUAAAGCUCUAUCAGUAGGGAAGAAAAUGACGGGGCUAGUUUAAUUAGCCAUGGACAACAACGAGAGAGCAGCCGCGGUAAUACGUAGGGUGCAAGCGUUAUGCGGAUUUACUGGGUGUAAAGGGAACGUAGACGGCUGAUCAAGUCAGGUGUGAAAGGCCGGGGCUUAACCCGGGAAUUGCUUUUGAUACUGGGCAGCUAGAGUGCAGUAGAGGUAAGUGGAAUUCCUAGUGUAGCGGUGAAAUGCGUAGAUAUUAGGAGGAACACCAGUGGCGAAGGCGGCUUACUGGACUGUGACUGACGUUGAGGCUCGAAAGCGUGGGGAGCAAACAGGAUUAGAUACCCUUGUAGUC